GACGAACGCUGGCGGCGUGCUUAACACAUGCAAGUCGAACGGAAAGGCCCUGCUUUUGUGGGGUGCUCGAGUGGCGAACGGGUGAGUAAAAAGUGAGUAACCUGCCCUUGACUUUGGGAUAACUUCAGGAAAAUGGGGCUAAUACCGGAUAGGAGCUCCUGCUGCAUUGGGGGGGUUGGAAAGUUUCGGCGGUUGGGGAUGGACUCGCGGCUUAUCAGCUUGUUGGUGGGGUAGUGGCUUACCAAGGCUUUGACGGGUAGCCGGCCUGAGAGGGUGACCGGCCACAUUGGGACUGAGAUACGGCCCAGACUCCUACGGGAGGCAGCAGUGGGGAAUAUUGCACAAUGGGCGGAAGCCUGAUGCAGCAACGCCGCGUGCGGGAUGACGGCCUUCGGGUUGUAAACCGCUUUCGCCUGUGACGAAGCGUGAGUGACGGUAAUGGGUAAAGAAGCACCGGCUAACUACGUG
RNAcentral lists this ribosomal RNA (468 nucleotides) under uncultured bacterium. Its description in RNAcentral is "partial 16S ribosomal RNA". It matches the Rfam family "Bacterial small subunit ribosomal RNA", at positions 28 to 507 of the family's 1533-position model. The record is from RNAcentral.